RNAcentral lists this ribosomal RNA (2906 nucleotides) under Klebsiella oxytoca. Its description in RNAcentral is "23S ribosomal RNA". It matches the Rfam family "Bacterial large subunit ribosomal RNA". Lineage: Bacteria; Pseudomonadati; Pseudomonadota; Gammaproteobacteria; Enterobacterales; Enterobacteriaceae. The record is from RNAcentral.
GGUUAAGCGACUAAGCGUACACGGUGGAUGCCCUGGCAGUCAGAGGCGAUGAAGGACGUGCUAAUCUGCGAAAAGCGUCGGUAAGGUGAUAUGAACCGUUACAGCCGGCGAUGUCCGAAUGGGGAAACCCAGUGCAAUUCGUUGCACUAUCGUUAACUGAAUACAUAGGUUAACGAGGCGAACCGGGGGAACUGAAACAUCUAAGUACCCCGAGGAAAAGAAAUCAACCGAGAUUCCCCCAGUAGCGGCGAGCGAACGGGGAGCAGCCCGGAGUCUGAAUCAGCUUGUGUGUUAGUGGAAGCGUCUGGAAAGUCGCAGGGUACAGGGUGAUACUCCCGUACACUAAAACACACAGGCUGUGAACUCGAAGAGUAGGGCGGGACACGUGGUAUCCUGUCUGAAUAUGGGGGGACCAUCCUCCAAGGCUAAAUACUCCUGACUGACCGAUAGUGAACCAGUACCGUGAGGGAAAGGCGAAAAGAACCCCGGCGAGGGGAGUGAAAAAGAACCUGAAACCGUGUACGUACAAGCAGUAGGAGCCCACUAGUUGGGUGACUGCGUACCUUUUGUAUAAUGGGUCAGCGACUUAUAUUCUGUAGCAAGGUUAACCGUAUAGGGGAGCCGCAGGGAAACCGAGUCUUAACUGGGCGUUAAGUUGCAGGGUAUAGACCCGAAACCCGGUGAUCUAGCCAUGGGCAGGUUGAAGGUUGGGUAACACUAACUGGAGGACCGAACCGACUAAUGUUGAAAAAUUAGCGGAUGACUUGUGGCUGGGGGUGAAAGGCCAAUCAAACCGGGAGAUAGCUGGUUCUCCCCGAAAGCUAUUUAGGUAGCGCCUCGUGAAUUCAUCUUCGGGGGUAGAGCACUGUUUCGGCUAGGGGGUCAUCCCGACUUACCAACCCGAUGCAAACUACGAAUACCGAAGAAUGUUAUCACGGGAGACACACGGCGGGUGCUAACGUCCGUCGUGAAGAGGGAAACAACCCAGACCGCCAGCUAAGGUCCCAAAGUCAUGGUUAAGUGGGAAACGAUGUGGGAAGGCCCAGACAGCCAGGAUGUUGGCUUAGAAGCAGCCAUCAUUUAAAGAAAGCGUAAUAGCUCACUGGUCGAGUCGGCCUGCGCGGAAGAUGUAACGGGGCUAAACCAUGCACCGAAGCUGCGGCAGCGACACUAUGUGUUGUUGGGUAGGGGAGCGUUCUGUAAGCCGUUGAAGGUGGCCUGUGAGGGUUGCUGGAGGUAUCAGAAGUGCGAAUGCUGACAUAAGUAACGAUAAUGCGGGUGAAAAACCCGCACGCCGGAAGACCAAGGGUUCCUGUCCAACGUUAAUCGGGGCAGGGUGAGUCGACCCCUAAGGCGAGGCCGAAAGGCGUAGUCGAUGGGAAACAGGUUAAUAUUCCUGUACUUGGUGUUACUGCGAAGGGGGGACGGAGAAGGCUAUGUUGGCCGGGCGACGGUUGUCCCGGUUUAAGCAUGUAGGCGGAUGUUCCAGGUAAAUCCGGAACGUCACUAACGCUGAGGUGUGAUGACGAGGCACUACGGUGCUGAAGUGACAAAUGCCCUGCUUCCAGGAAAAGCCUCUAAGCAUCAGGUAACAUCAAAUCGUACCCCAAACCGACACAGGUGGUCAGGUAGAGAAUACCAAGGCGCUUGAGAGAACUCGGGUGAAGGAACUAGGCAAAAUGGUGCCGUAACUUCGGGAGAAGGCACGCUGAUGGUAGGUGAAGUGACUUGCUCACGGAGCUGAAAUCAGUCGAAGAUACCAGCUGGCUGCAACUGUUUAUUAAAAACACAGCACUGUGCAAACACGAAAGUGGACGUAUACGGUGUGACGCCUGCCCGGUGCCGGAAGGUUAAUUGAUGGGGUUAUCCGUAAGGAGAAGCUCUUGAUCGAAGCCCCGGUAAACGGCGGCCGUAACUAUAACGGUCCUAAGGUAGCGAAAUUCCUUGUCGGGUAAGUUCCGACCUGCACGAAUGGCGUAAUGAUGGCCAGGCUGUCUCCACCCGAGACUCAGUGAAAUUGAACUCGCUGUGAAGAUGCAGUGUACCCGCGGCAAGACGGAAAGACCCCGUGAACCUUUACUAUAGCUUGACACUGAACACUGGUCCUUGAUGUGUAGGAUAGGUGGGAGGCUUUGAAGUGUGGACGCCAGUCUGCAUGGAGCCAUCCUUGAAAUACCACCCUUUAAUGGCUGGUGUUCUAACGUGGGCCCGUGAUCCGGGUUGCGGACAGUGUCUGGUGGGUAGUUUGACUGGGGCGGUCUCCUCCUAAAGAGUAACGGAGGAGCACGAAGGUCAGCUAAUCCUGGUCGGACAUCAGGAGGUUAGUGCAAUGGCAUAAGCUGGCUUGACUGCGAGCGUGACGGCGCGAGCAGGUGCGAAAGCAGGUCAUAGUGAUCCGGUGGUUCUGAAUGGAAGGGCCAUCGCUCAACGGAUAAAAGGUACUCCGGGGAUAACAGGCUGAUACCGCCCAAGAGUUCAUAUCGACGGCGGUGUUUGGCACCUCGAUGUCGGCUCAUCACAUCCUGGGGCUGAAGUAGGUCCCAAGGGUAUGGCUGUUCGCCAUUUAAAGUGGUACGCGAGCUGGGUUUAGAACGUCGUGAGACAGUUCGGUCCCUAUCUGCCGUGGGCGCUGGAGAAUUGAGGGGGGCUGCUCCUAGUACGAGAGGACCGGAGUGGACGCAUCACUGGUGUUCGGGUUGUCAUGCCAAUGGCAUUGCCCGGUAGCUAAAUGCGGAAGAGAUAAGUGCUGAAAGCAUCUAAGCACGAAACUUGCCCCGAGAUGAGUUCUCCCUGACCCUUUAAGGGUCCUGAAGGAACGUUGAAGACGACGACGUUGAUAGGCCGGGUGUGUAAGCGCAGCGAUGCGUUGAGCUAACCGGUACUAAUGAACCGUGAGGCUUAACCUU